RNAcentral lists this transfer RNA (77 nucleotides) under Bacteroidaceae bacterium. RNAcentral's name for it is "tRNA-Phe". It matches the Rfam family "tRNA". Rfam says of the family: Transfer RNA (tRNA) molecules are approximately 80 nucleotides in length. Their secondary structure includes four short double-helical elements and three loops (D, anti-codon, and T loops). Lineage: Bacteria; Pseudomonadati; Bacteroidota; Bacteroidia; Bacteroidales; Bacteroidaceae. The record is from RNAcentral.
GGGGCGGUAGCUCAGUUGGUAGAGCGAUGGACUGAAAAUCCAUGUCGUUAGCGGCAGUUCGAUUCUGCCCCGCCCCA